RNAcentral lists this ribosomal RNA (255 nucleotides) under uncultured bacterium. Its description in RNAcentral is "partial 16S ribosomal RNA". It matches the Rfam family "Bacterial small subunit ribosomal RNA", at positions 96 to 353 of the family's 1533-position model. The record is from RNAcentral.
UGGCGGACGGGUGAGUAAUGUCUGGGAAACUGCCUGAUGGAGGGGGAUAACUACUGGAAACGGUAGCUAAUACCGCAUAACGUCGCAAGACCAAAGAGGGGGACCUUCGGGCCUCUUGCCAUCGGAUGUGCCCAGAUGGGAUUAGCUUGUUGGUGGGGUAACGGCUCACCAAGGCGACGAUCCCUAGCUGGUCUGAGAGGAUGACCAGCCACACUGGAACUGAGACACGGUCCAGACUCCUACGGGAGGCAGCAU